GUCUACGGCUAUGCUACCCUGAACAAGCCCGAUCCCAUCUGAUCUCAGAAGCUAAGCAGGAUGGGGCCUGGUUAGUACUUGGAUGGGAGACCACCUAGGAAGACCAGGUGCUGUAGGCA
This 119-nucleotide ribosomal RNA is filed under the name Pteropus alecto (black flying fox). The record is from RNAcentral. Lineage: Eukaryota; Metazoa; Chordata; Mammalia; Chiroptera; Pteropodidae.